UACGUAGGGUGCAAGCGUUGUCCGGAAUUAUUGGGCGUAAAGAGCUCGUAGGCGGUUUGUCGCGUUGUUCGUGAAAUGCCACAGCUUAACUGUGGGCGUGCGGGCGAUACGGGCAGACUGGAGUACUGCAGGGGAGACUGGAAUUCCUGGUGUAGCGGUGGAAUGCGCAGAUAUCAGGAGGAACACCGGUGGCGAAGGCGGGUCUCUGGGCAGUAACUGACGCUGAGGAGCGAAAGCGUGGGGAGCGAACAGG
RNAcentral lists this ribosomal RNA (253 nucleotides) under uncultured bacterium. RNAcentral's name for it is "partial 16S ribosomal RNA". It matches the Rfam family "Bacterial small subunit ribosomal RNA", at positions 524 to 776 of the family's 1533-position model. The record is from RNAcentral.